RNAcentral lists this ribosomal RNA (581 nucleotides) under Glomus sp. RNAcentral's name for it is "partial large subunit ribosomal RNA". It matches the Rfam family "Eukaryotic large subunit ribosomal RNA", at positions 140 to 631 of the family's 3401-position model. The record is from RNAcentral. Lineage: Eukaryota; Fungi; Glomeromycota; Glomeromycetes; Glomerales; Glomeraceae.
GAAUUGUAAUUUGAAGAAGCGUUUUCCGCGUCUCGGUUGGCCCAAAUCCUUUGGGAUGAGGUAUCAUGGAGGGUGAGAAUCCCGUUCGGUUGACCUCAUGACGCUCUACGAUACGCUUUCUAAGAGUCGAGUUGUUUGGGAUUGCAGCUCAAAAUGGGAGGUAAAUUUCUCCUAAGGCUAAAUAUCGGCGAGAGACCGAUAGCGAACAAGUACCGUGAGGGAGAGAUGAAAAGAACUUUGAAAAGAGAGUAAAAUAGUACGUGAAAUUGUUGAAAGGGAAACGAUUGAAGUCAGUCGUUCCGACGGAAAAUCAGCUCUUCGAGUGCGGACUUGUGGGCGUACGUGAGCUUUAACCGGCCUCGUCGUUUGCUACGUUUGUGCUUUUUGGGUGUACUUUUUCGUAUGGUAGGCCAACGUCAGUUUCGAUCACCAUAAAAUGAUCGGAGGAAUGUAGCUUCGAUCUUGUAUUGAAGUGUUAUAGCCUUUGGUAGACGUGGUGACUGAGACUGAGGAUUGCAACGAAUACCCUUUGGGCUAUCCGUCUGACCUCUGAAAGUUGCUCAGGUGCCGAAAGCGUGCUU